GAGAACUGCGCGGGUUGACAGGAGCCAGGCCUGUGCGUGAUGCCGAGUGGUGGUAAAUGCUUUAUCAUGAUUAUCGAGGUAAGCUUCCAAUCUAUUCCUUGCUUAAUUAUCUUUGCAACUUGCAAGGGCUGUGGCGUGAUACGCAAGAUUUUCCACGCGUGGCAACUCUUACGUAAUUGCAUGGAUUCUAACAGGUAACCAUAGCUCUGUGUUCAUUAACUUGCAAGGAAUAACCUCUUCUCCGUUAGGUGGAGUGGUCACAUAAAACCCAUAACUAUGUGCUUUCACUGCUCAAACGUCCUCGUCCAUCGUGGAUACACACUAAAAACCAGGUAAUCUUUUUGGAAGUUACCCCCUUGCGUGUGAAAGAGUCUUACAUUAGUUUGUUCUUCGUACACCAGUUCUAAAAAACACAUGUGACUUUUCAGAGGGCGCUUAAAUCCUGUGUGUGAUUGGAGCUAAACUUGAAAACGCUGUGCCUCCAUAUGUUUGUCUUGUAGAAGAAUGCUACUCAACUCAACUCAGAGCUCCAGAGCUCCAGAGCUCACAGUGCAGUGCACCGC
Molecule: long non-coding RNA, 563 nt
Filed under: Selaginella moellendorffii
Lineage: Eukaryota; Viridiplantae; Streptophyta; Lycopodiopsida; Selaginellales; Selaginellaceae
Description: long non-coding RNA (SMOE_LNC002279)
Source: RNAcentral